CUUGCCUUUAAAUUUCUUCACCCUGUUCUCCAGAAGGGUUCCUGACUUGCUAUUUCAUCAACUUGUUUCCAUGCUUUCAACUUCUUCACCCUGUUCUGCAGGCGGGCUCCUGACUUGCUAUUUUUCAAUCUGUUUAACUUUCAAUUUCUUCACCUUGUUGCUUAGUUUUCUAUUUAUUCGCCCUAUGCUUUGGGCAGGCUCCUGAAAUCACAUCAAAACUAAAAAGAAAAUUAUCCCAAACAAAUAUUAUUAUAAAGAGGUUUUAUUUGACAGAAAAG
RNAcentral lists this long non-coding RNA (278 nucleotides) under Capsicum annuum. RNAcentral describes it as "long non-coding RNA (CANN_LNC007744)". Lineage: Eukaryota; Viridiplantae; Streptophyta; Magnoliopsida; Solanales; Solanaceae. The record is from RNAcentral.